Molecule: ribosomal RNA, 508 nt
Filed under: uncultured Roseomonas sp.
Lineage: Bacteria; Pseudomonadati; Pseudomonadota; Alphaproteobacteria; Acetobacterales; Roseomonadaceae
Description: bacterial SSU rRNA
Rfam family: Bacterial small subunit ribosomal RNA
Source: RNAcentral
GGCAGUGGCGGACGGGUGAGUAACGCGUAGGAAUAUGUCCAGAGGUGGGGGACAACCCCGGGAAACUGGGGCUAAUACCGCAUAUGAGCUGAGGCUCAAAGCAGUGAUGCGCCUUUGGAGUAGCCUGCGUCCGAUUAGCUUGUUGGUGGGGUAAUGGCCUACCAAGGCGACGAUCGGUAGCUGGUCUGAGAGGACGACCAGCCACACUGGGACUGAGACACGGCCCAGACUCCUACGGGAGGCAGCAGUGGGGAAUAUUGGACAAUGGGCGCAAGCCUGAUCCAGCAAUUCCGCGUGGGUGAAGAAGGUCUUCGGAUUGUAAAGCCCUUUCGACGGGGACGAUGAUGACGGUACCCGUAGAAGAAGCCCCGGCUAACUUCGUGCCAGCAGCCGCGGUAAUACGAAGGGGGCUAGCGUUGCUCGGAAUUACUGGGCGUAAAGGGCGCGUAGGCGGCUUAGUUAGUCAGGCGUGAAAUUCCUGGGCUCAACCUGGGGACUGCGCUUGAUA